GUUCCGUACCAAGCCAUCUUCGACAUACUCUCCAGGACGCCGGUAAAGUCCGUGUGCCGGUUCCGGUGCGUGUCCAAAGGGUGGCGCAACCUCAUCUCCAGCCCCGUCUUCGCCGCCGCGCACAGGUCCUGCCACGGCCCGCUCCUCGUUGACGCCGGCUCCUUCGAGGAAGAAGAACCCGUGGGAGACCGUGACAUGCGGCUCAUGGACAUGGACGGCAACGUCGUGAGGGUCAUCAAGGGUGCCGGAGGCUAUGGGAUGAUGUGCAACACCAGCCUCGACGGCCUCAUUUGCGUCAACGGCGCUUCUUGCGGUAGCGUCAACGUGGUCAAUCCGGCCACAGUGGAGGUGCUCGUGACCUGCCCACAGGUGGACGUGGUAGACCGCGACGCCUUUCCUUAUGUUACGAUAGGUUACUACACCAUCUUCGGCUUCGGCCAUGCCGUCCCAUCCGGUGAAUACAAGAUGGUGCGUGUCCUCGACGACCACACAUGUGAGAUCCUUACAUUAGGAGACGGCAGAGGUUGGAGGAAAGCGCAUGCACUUCCAAAGGUCCACCCCUGCUCUCGUCGAGGCUCUCCGGUCACUAUCGAUGGCAUCAUGUACUUUUUGGUGAAAUGUAACGACCACAGUUUGCUCUGCUUCGAUUUGGAGAGCGAGCAAUAG
This 666-nucleotide ribosomal RNA is filed under the name Triticum aestivum (bread wheat). Its description in RNAcentral is "partial small subunit ribosomal RNA". Lineage: Eukaryota; Viridiplantae; Streptophyta; Magnoliopsida; Poales; Poaceae. The record is from RNAcentral.